CUACGGGGUGCACCAGUGAGGAAUAUUGCACAAUGGGGGGAACCCUGAUGCAGCAACGCCGCGUGGAGGAUGACGCAUUUCGGUGUGUAAACUCCUUUUAUAUGUCAAGAAAAUGACGGUAGCAUAUGCAUAAGCACCGGCUAACUCCGUGCCAGCAGCCGCGGUAAUACGGAGGGUGCAAGCGUUACUCGGAAUCACUGGGCGUAAAGGACGCGUAGGCGGGUUGGAAAGUCAGGUGUGAAAUCCUACAGCUUAACUGUAGAACUGCACUUGAAACUUCUAAUCUAGAGUAUGGGAGGGGGAGAUGGAAUUAGUGGUGUAGGGGAAAAAUCCGUAGAUAUCACUAGGAAUACCUAAAGCGAAGGCGAUCUCCUGGAACAUUACUGACGCUAAGGCGUGAAAGCGUGGGGAGCAAACAGGAUUAGAUACCCCAGUAGUC
This 439-nucleotide ribosomal RNA is filed under the name uncultured bacterium. Its description in RNAcentral is "partial 16S ribosomal RNA". It matches the Rfam family "Bacterial small subunit ribosomal RNA", at positions 339 to 795 of the family's 1533-position model. The record is from RNAcentral.